Molecule: ribosomal RNA, 269 nt
Filed under: unidentified marine bacterioplankton
Lineage: Bacteria
Description: partial 16S ribosomal RNA
Rfam family: Bacterial small subunit ribosomal RNA
Source: RNAcentral
ACGCCUAACACAUGCAAGUCGAGCGAGGUAGCAAUACCUAGCGGCAGACGGGUGCGUAACAUGUGGGAAUCUGCCUUUUUGGUUCGGAACAACACGGGGGAAACCUGUGCUAAUACCGGAUAAGUCCUUACGGAGAAAGUUUUAAUGCCAAAAGAUGAGCCCGCAUUUGAUUAGCUAGUUGGUGAGGUAAAGCUCACCAAGGCGAUAAUCAAUAGCUGAUUUGAGAGGGGUGAUCAGCCACACUGGGACUGAGAUACGGCCCAGACUCC